UAAUCUAUUUAAGAACAAAUCCUUAUUUAAUUAUGAUAGACACAUACACAUGACUGCUCAGAAUCAUUUAUUAUCAUAAAUCCGACUACAUCAUUAACAUUGAAAAACAAAAGAUAAUUACUGUGUGAACAAUAAUUUUUUAAGAUUUGAAU
MicroRNA precursor from Populus trichocarpa (black cottonwood), 152 nucleotides. It matches the Rfam family "MIR480 microRNA precursor family". The record is from Rfam. NCBI's taxonomy places the organism in Eukaryota, Viridiplantae, Streptophyta, Magnoliopsida, Malpighiales, Salicaceae.